ACCUGUCACUUAUGCAGUGUCAGAUGCAUUGUUACUGGGGUAGCCAACAACAACAGUAUCCCGUAUGUUAAUGUUCAGGAAAAAAAACAGUAUCCCGUAUGUUUUAUUAGCAGUUGCCAAAAGCAUCAAAGCCUAACAGUGCACAUCCAAGUAUAUAGUGAAUCCUGCAAAAAUAUAUAACUCUCUCCUCCUAAAAUACAUGGAUUCCUGAGUUUGUUAUAAGCCAAAUAAUUCUAGGGCCUUGUUUAGUUCACCCUCAAAUCCCAACUUUGGCACUAUGCAAAAAGAAGAUUCCCCAUCACAUCAAACUUGCGGUACAUGCAUGGAGUACUAAAUGUAGACAAAAUUAAAAACUAAUUGCACAGUUUUGUUGUACUUUGCGAGACGAAUCUUUUGAGCCUAAUUAGUCAAUGUUUGGACAAUAAUUCACAAAUACAAACGAAACGCUGCAGUGUUGCUAUAGUAAUUUUAGCACCUCAAAAUUGGGCAACUAAACAAGGCCUAGGUUUGAGCAAAUGUAUAGAAAAGAAUAAUAAUAUUUAUGACAUUA
Molecule: long non-coding RNA, 550 nt
Filed under: Setaria viridis
Lineage: Eukaryota; Viridiplantae; Streptophyta; Magnoliopsida; Poales; Poaceae
Description: long non-coding RNA (SVIR_LNC009758)
Source: RNAcentral